CAGCUGCAGUGCCAGGAGGGGGAGGGGGGGUGAGUUUUGGGGUGAAAUCCUGGGAAUUUGGGGGGGAAGGGGUGAAAGUCACCCCCAAAAUGUCACCCGGGGGGGUCACCCCAAAAAAAUGUCAGGAGGGGAAAAACUGGGAAAAAAAGGAGCCAAAAUUGGGAAAAAAGGAGACAAAAGUGGGGAAAAAGGAGACAAAAGUGGGGAAAAAAGGAAACAAAAGUGGGGAAAAAAGGAGACAAAAGUGGGAAAAAAGGAGCCAAAAUUUGGAAAAAAAAGGAGCCAAAAUUGGGGAAAAGGGAGGAAAAAAAAAUGGAACGAAGGGAAUGGAAGGGUUAAAAAAAAAGGUUGGAAAAAGGGUGAAAAAAGAAGGGCAAAAAGGGAAAUGGAGAGAAAAAAGGAAUGAGAGGAUAAAAAAGAAAAGAAAGAAAAUAAAAAAAAGGGAAAUGAAAGAAAAAGGACCCCCCAAAAAAGAGGAAAAAAAGGGGAAAUGAGCCAAAAAAAGGAGAAAUGAAAGGCCCCAAAGCCGAGGGGGGAGGAGGAGGAGGAGGAGGAGGAUGGGGAGGAAGAGCAGGAUCAGGAGCUGUUCUGGUUCUGGUAAAUCGACGCCUUCUCCUUGAGCAGGUCCAGGCAGAGGUGGCAGCUCCAGCUCCCUGCAAGGCAGUUAAUGAAGCAGUUAAUUAAUGAAGCAGUUAAUUAAUGAAGCAGUUAAUUACCCAUUAAUUAACCAGUUAAUGAAGCAGUUAAUGAAGCAAUUAAUCACGGGGGUUAAUGAGAGAGGAGGGGAAUGGGGAGGGGAAGGAGGGAGAGGAGGAGGAAGAGGAAGAGGAGGAGGAGAACAAAAAGGAGGAAGAGGAGGAGGAAGAAAAGAGGAGGGAAAGGGGAAGGAAGGAAGAGGAAGAAGAGCAGGAAAAAGAGGAGGAAGAGGAGGAGGAGG
RNAcentral lists this long non-coding RNA (937 nucleotides) under Serinus canaria (Common canary). RNAcentral's name for it is "lncRNA (ENSSCAG00000001912.1)". The record is from RNAcentral. Lineage: Eukaryota; Metazoa; Chordata; Aves; Passeriformes; Fringillidae.